RNAcentral lists this ribosomal RNA (1133 nucleotides) under human gut metagenome. RNAcentral's name for it is "bacterial LSU rRNA". It matches the Rfam family "Bacterial large subunit ribosomal RNA", at positions 1148 to 2282 of the family's 2925-position model. The record is from RNAcentral.
AUCGAGUCUUCCUGCGCGGAAGAUGUAACGGGGCUAAGUCAAUAACCGAAGCCGCGGAUUCACGACUUGUCGUGAGUGGUAGGGGAGCGUUCUGUAAGCCUGCGAAGGCGGUUCGUAAGGACUGCUGGAGGUAUCAGAAGUGCGAAUGCUGACAUGAGUAACGUUAAAGCAGGUGAAAAGCCUGCUCGCCGUAAGCCCAAGGUUUCCUGCUCUACGUUCAUCGGAGCAGGGUGAGUCGGCCCCUAAGGCGAGGCUGAGAAGCGUAGCUGAUGGGAACAAGGUUAAUAUUCCUUGACCGCCGUUGAGUGCGAAGGGGGGACGGAGUGUUGAAGAUCAUCCGGGUGUUGGAUGUCCCGGUUUGUGAACGUAGGAGGCCGGCAGGCAAAUCCGCCGGCGUAUCUCCGAGGUGAAGCAUCGAGGUCCGUAUGGACCGAAGUGAUCGGAUGGGCUCCCAGGAAAAGCCUCUAAGCUCCAGCUCAACGGGACCGUACCGCAAACCGACACUGGUGGGCGAGCUGAAUAUGCUCAGGCGCUUGAGAGAACUCAGGAGAAGGAACUCGGCAAAUUGACACCGUAACUUCGGGAUAAGGUGUGCCUCGGUAGCGUGAAGGAAGAAACAUCCGGAGCGUGAAGAGGUCUCAGAGAAUCGGUGGCUGCGACUGUUUACUAAAAACACAGCACUCUGCAAAGACGAAAGUCGACGUAUAGGGUGUGAUGCCUGCCCGGUGCUGGAAGAUUAAUUGAUGGGGUGCAAGCUCCUGAUCGAAGUCCCAGUAAACGGCGGCCGUAACUAUAACGGUCCUAAGGUAGCGAAAUUCCUUGUCGGGCAAGUUCCGACCUGCACGAAUGGCAUAACGAUGGCCACACUGUCUCCUCCUGAGACUCAGUGAAGUUGAAGUGUUUGUGAUGAUGCAAUCUCCCCGCGGCUAGACGGAAAGACCCCAUGAACCUUUACUGUAGCUUUGCAUUGGACUUUGAACCGAUCUGUGUAGGAUAGGUGGGAGGCUGUGAAACCGGGACGCCAGUACCGGUGGAGCCGUCCUUGAAAUACCACCCUGAUUUGUUUGAGGUUCUAACCUAGGUCGGUAAUCCCGAUCGGGGACCGUGCAUGGUAGGCAGUUUGACUGGGGCGG